GUGAGGGUGGCAGCAGCGAGGUGACGGUGAGGGGGCCCUGUGGCAGCGGGCGGGCAGGGGGCUGGGCCUUCACCUGGUUUGAUCCUCGCCCCAGUUCUGGGAGCCCUCGGGGAGGGCUGUGGAUCCUGAUGCGGAUCCUGACGCGGAUCCUGACAGUCAGGAGAGCUGAGUCCCCUGAGACAUGGGGCCAUUCCACACACCUCCCGCAGGCGGUCUUUGGAAUCCACUCUUCAAACACACCUGGGGCCGCUGCACUGUUCCCCCAGAUCUGAGAGGGGAGUUACACCUGCAUCCGUUUACACAGGGUAGCUGCCUGGACCCCGCCUGAGGCCUUGCCUGCAGCUUCACGGAUUCACAUUGCCACCAGUUCUCUUCCUGGGGAAAUUAUUUCAGAAUAAAUCUUAAAUGCCCUGUUGCCUUUACUGAGUUCUGGCAGGUUCGUUCCUGGGUAUGUUUGGUUUUUUUCUCUCUC
This 472-nucleotide long non-coding RNA is filed under the name Equus caballus (horse). RNAcentral describes it as "lncRNA (ENSECAG00000051778.1)". The record is from RNAcentral. Lineage: Eukaryota; Metazoa; Chordata; Mammalia; Perissodactyla; Equidae.